This 336-nucleotide unclassified non-coding RNA is filed under the name soil metagenome. Its description in RNAcentral is "partial contains 5.8S ribosomal RNA, internal transcribed spacer 2, and large subunit ribosomal RNA". The stretch from base 1 to 120 matches the Rfam family "5.8S ribosomal RNA", at positions 35 to 154 of the family's 154-position model. The record is from RNAcentral.
GAUGAAGAACGUAGCGAAAUGCGAUAAGUAGUGUGAAUUGCAGAAUUCAGUGAAUCAUCGAAUCUUUGAACGCACAUUGCGCCCUUUGGUAUUCCUUAGGGCACGCCUGUUCGAGCGUCAUUUGAACCCUCAAGCUCAGCUUGGUGUUGGGUGUCUGUCCCCGCCUCCGCGGGGACUCGCCUCAAAAUCAUUGGCGGCCGGUACGUUGGCUUCGAGCGCAGCAGAAACGCGAACUCGAGGCCCGGCGGAUCGGCGACCAGAAGUCUCUUCUUCACAGUUUGACCUCGGAUCAGGUAGGGAUACCCGCUGAACUUAAGCAUAUCAAUAAGCGGAGGA